UACGUAGGCGGAAUAUUAAGUCAGUGGUGAAAUCCUGCGGCUCAACCGUAGAACUGCCAUUGAUACUGAUAUUCUUGAAUGUAGUUGAGGUAGGCGGAAUGUGUAAUGUAGCGGUGAAAUGCUUAGAUAUUACACAGAACACCGAUUGCGAAGGCAGCUUACUAAACUAUGAUUGACGCUGAUGCACGAAAGCGUGGGGAGCGAACAGGAUUAGAUACCCUGGUAGUCC
Molecule: ribosomal RNA, 229 nt
Filed under: uncultured bacterium
Lineage: Bacteria
Description: partial 16S ribosomal RNA
Rfam family: Bacterial small subunit ribosomal RNA
Source: RNAcentral